UUGAUUAAUUACAAUUUUAUUCGCCAGGGGACUACGAGCGUAAGCUUAAAACCCAAAGGACUUGGCGGUGCCCUAUACCUCCUAGAGGAGCCUGUUCUAUAAUCGAUGAUCCACGUUAUACCUCACCGUUUCUUGCCAAACCCGCCUAUAUACCGCCGUCUCCAACUUACCCUAUGAAGGAUUCACAGUAGGUUUAAAGAUCACUCAUCAGAACGUCAGGUCAAGGUGUAGCGAAUGAAACGGGAAGAAAUGGGCUACAUUUUCUACCUUAGAUCACACGGAUAAUCAAUAUGAAACCUGAUUAUGAAGGAGGAUUUAGCAGUAAAAAGAAACCAACAUGUUCUUUUUAAGUCGGACCUAGGGCGCGUACACACCGCCCGUCACCCUCUUCGACUCAUUUCACUAUAUUUCAUAAUAAAUAACUAGAGAUAAGAAGAGGCAAGUCGUAACAUGGUAAGUAUACCGGAAGGUGUACUUGGAAC
RNAcentral lists this ribosomal RNA (482 nucleotides) under Oreolalax chuanbeiensis (Sichuan lazy toad). Its description in RNAcentral is "partial 12S ribosomal RNA". It matches the Rfam family "Bacterial small subunit ribosomal RNA", at positions 848 to 1524 of the family's 1533-position model. Lineage: Eukaryota; Metazoa; Chordata; Amphibia; Anura; Megophryidae. The record is from RNAcentral.